AUUGAACGCUGGCGGCAGGCCUAACACAUGCAAGUCGAACGUGUGGCGGACGGGUGAGUAAUGUCUGGAAAUCCGCGCGAUGGGGGGAGAUCACUAGUGGACACGGGAUCAUACACCGCAUCACAGCAUAUGCGCCCAGAGGGGAUUAGCUAGUAGGUGGGGUAACGGCUCACCUAGGCGACGAUCCCUAGCUGGUCUGAGAGGAUGACCAGCCACACUGGAACUGAGACACGGUCCAGACUCCUACGGGAGGCAGCAGUGGGGAAUAUUGCACAAUGGGCGCAAGCCUGAUGCAGCCAUGCCGCGUGUAUGAAGAAGGCCUUCGGGUUGUAAAGUACUUUCAGCGAGGAGGCGUUACUCGCAGAAGAAGCACCGGCUAACUCCGUGCCAGCAGCCGCGGUAAUAC
RNAcentral lists this ribosomal RNA (406 nucleotides) under uncultured bacterium. Its description in RNAcentral is "partial 16S ribosomal RNA". It matches the Rfam family "Bacterial small subunit ribosomal RNA", at positions 30 to 526 of the family's 1533-position model. The record is from RNAcentral.